This 125-nucleotide microRNA precursor is filed under the name Theobroma cacao (cacao). RNAcentral's name for it is "miR156d stem-loop (tcc-MIR156d)". Its record names the gene tcc-MIR156d. The stretch from base 20 to 106 matches the Rfam family "mir-156 microRNA precursor family". Rfam says of the family: This family represents the plant microRNA (miRNA) precursor mir-156. The record is from miRBase by way of RNAcentral. Lineage: Eukaryota; Viridiplantae; Streptophyta; Magnoliopsida; Malvales; Malvaceae.
GACCAGGUCUGUCAGGAAGGUGACAGAAGAGAGUGAGCACACAGGGUUCUUUCUUGCAUGAGUGCCUCAUGCUUGAAACUUUAUGUGCUUGCUCUCCUUCCGUCACCCGCCUCUUUCUCUCCCCC